UACGAAGGGAGCUAGCGUUGUUCGGAAUUACUGGGCGUAAAGGGCGCGUAGGCGGCUUUGAUAGUUAGGCGUGAAAUGCCUGGGCUUAACCCAGGAACUGCGCUCAAUACUACAAGGCUUGAGUGUGGGAGAGGAUAGUGGAAUUCCCAGUGUAGAGGUGAAAUUCGUAGAUAUUCGCAAGAACACCAGUGGCGAAGGCGGCUCACUGGCCCGGUACUGACGCUGAGGUGCGAAAGCGUGGGGAGCAAACAGG
Molecule: ribosomal RNA, 253 nt
Filed under: uncultured bacterium
Lineage: Bacteria
Description: partial 16S ribosomal RNA
Rfam family: Bacterial small subunit ribosomal RNA
Source: RNAcentral